CAAAAUGCAACCUAAACAUGUCUAAAUCCUAAUCUAUAUGAUGAAAAUGUUUAUGAAUGAAUGGAUAAAACAAUGUAAAUAUGCAAGAUAUCAACUCCCCCAAACUUGUUCUUUUACUUGUCCACAAGUGAACUUUCUAGAACUCAUAGGGAGAGAGGUUGAAGGAGGGAGCACAUAGCCAAAAGAAACACAACUAGCACACUCUCUUAUUACACUCUAGCUUCUCUAGGCCUAUCUUAACUCUUUUUGUUCUUACACUCAUCAUCAAGCAUCCACACAUUCAAAUCAACCAACUCUCACAUUCAUUAAGCACAAAACAUCAGGUGAAUUCUUGCAAAUGGUCAGUUGGUCCAAGUCAUUUGGUUGGGUAAGGGAAGGCUUUUAUUCAAGUGAUUCAAGAGGUUCAAAACAUAUGAUCUUUAAGGUGGUUUACUCUCAAAACAAGUAGCCUUGACAUUGCACAUAAUAUAUCUAAGAAAGGGACCAACUCAUGCAUACAAUGCUCAAUCUCCAUUGUUCUACCCUUUUCCCAAACAUAUCAUUACACAAUCAUUCCCAAAUGUCAAACCCAACUCACAUCUCUCACCAAAAGAUCUUAAGAACUUUAACUCUUUCUUUUUGAAAUCUACAAGGGAUUUUUCUACAACCUCAAAACAUUUCUUAGCUCCUAACAACUUUGCUAGCCCCCUUUUCUUUCUUUUCAUCUUUUUUUUUUUUUCUUUUCUCUUUUUUUUUUCGUUUUUUUUUUUUUUUUUUUUUUUUUUUUUUUUUUUUAGGCUGGGGGCCAAGACUUUUCAAAACUUGAGCUAGAGGCUUCUAUACUGGUCCCAAGAAAACAAUUCACUUAAGCACAAAGAGUAUAUUCUUUUCCUUUUUUCAUUUCUCCCAAAUCAUAAUCACAACACUCACCCCCACCUAUAGCUAGACAAUAGAGUGUCCAAUCUAGCAAGAAUGAAAAUCAAGCAUUGUCGUUCCCGAUACUCUCAACAUUAUGCACAUGUAAGACUUUCCGAAAAAGGCCUCACUCAUCAAACAAUGAAAGCUUAAAAGGAGGAAAAGGUUUUGGGAGUGGUCUACCACUAGAGUUUGUCAAAAAAAAAGAUUGGUAUAAAAGAUGUGACAACUCAAGUGUGUAUAGCCAUGACUCAGUACACAAGGGACCAUGAGCAAGAAGCAUUAAGUUCGUUCAGUUCAAAUAAGGUCGUAGUUGGCUUCAAAGACUGAGUUUCAGCAAUCAACAAGUUUCAGGAAAAGUUUUCAAGGCUCGAAACAUACAAGUCUUUUUGAGAGGUGCAAAAACUACUCAGGUGAAACGUAGUGUUCUUUACAAGGCAUUUAAAAUCAUUGCUCCCAAUGCAAGUGAAUGCAACCUAUAUGCUCUAGACUCUCCUAAAAAAUGCAAAUGAUGCAAACUAAAUGAUUGGUUUUUUUUUUUUUUUAUGCAAAUAGGUAUGCAAUGCAUGACUCAAUGAAACACAUCAAAGCAAACAUGAUCAAAUACUUGGUACCUCCCCCAAACUUGAGUUACACAGUCUCUGUGUUGUCAAGUAGAGAGAGAGAUACCGAAAAGAAGACUAAUAUGCAAAAAUAAAAUGGUAUAUACAAGGGAGUGUGGUGGGUUACCUUCUAUGGGAAAUGAGUAGAGGGAGAUGCUCCCUCCUCGUCGUCCUCAGGUGGUAACUCUUCAAGGUGCUCAUCAGCAGGAGUGCCCAUCUCUUCAAUGUAGAAGGCUUGCCCGAACACAGUUGGUUUCCUCAUUUUCCUCUUGAUGUCAAAAUGGAGGAUGUUCUCUUUACCCAAAUGGAGAUCAAUCGUGCCCUCCUUCACAUUAACAAUAGCUCCUGCUGUAGCUAAGAAUGGCCUUCCUAGAAUCAAUGGAUCUUGAGCCUCCUCACCCAUCUCAAGCACCACAAAAUCUGUAGGUAUCUCAUACCUUCCAAUCUUCACAGGGAGGUCCUCUAAGAUGCCCACAGGGUACUUCACUGAACGAUCAGCUAACACCAGAGAGAGUCUACAUUUCUUGUACUGAGUGAAUCCAAGCUUCUUUGCAACAGACAAAGGCAUCAAGCUGACACUAGCUCCCAAAUCGCAGAGACAUUUCUCAAAUACCAUAGGUCCAAGAGCACAAGGUAGUGUGAAGCUUCCUGGAUCCUCUAACUUCUCGGGAACAUCCAGCCUCCGGAUGAUGGCACUGCACUCAUGGGUAAGAAUCAUCAUGCCUUCCAUCUCCUUCUUCUUUGCAGCUACAGCAUCUUUCAAGAACUUGCUGUAUUGAGGAGUCAACAUGAAAGCAUCGAUGAUGGGCAUUGCAACCUGAGCUUCACUCAUUUGCUUCUCAAACAGAGCUUUAUAUUUCUCUAGCAGCUGCUUCUUGAAUCUACCAGGGAAUGGAAGUUUGGGUUCAUAUGGAGGAGGAACAAAAGAACUUUCACUUGCUGGAGUAACAACUUCACCAUCCUUUACUGUCUUCUUCUCUUCCCCAACCUUUCCUUUACCUUUGGCUUCCACUAUCUUCUCCAAGAUCUCGUCAUUGAUCUUCUCAUCAACAAUCACCACUUCAUCAUCUAUGUUGAUGGCAACCCCCUCACCUAGUUUCUCAGCAUCCUUGGUGAGGGUUCUAGGAGGUAACUGCUUACCACUCCUAAGGGUGAUAGCUUUGGCCUCCUUGGGAUUUUGGUCAGACUUUCCAGGUAGAGAUCCUUGCUGGCGAUUCUGGUGAGUGUUCAUGGAAGCAAAUUGAUUCUCUAAAUUCCUGACUGUAGAAGCAAGGUGUGAGAAUUUGUUGUUGAGCUCAUUGUAGCUCCCAUCAAUCUUGGUAUGAAGGUUCUUCAACUCAUAACCAAUAUGCUUCUCACUUCUAGUCUGAGACUCCAAGAUUUGCUUCAGUAAGGUAUCAGUGCUGCUCUCUUGAGGAGCAGAGGAACCAGACGAGGGGUUUUGCUGAGGCUGAUAGCUGCCUUGCUGGUUGUUUCUUGGCGGAUAGCCACUCUGUUGGUUGUUUGGAUAGGAUUUCUGUUGGUAGUUGUUGUACUGAAAGUUGGGCUCCUUUUUGUACCAGCUACCAUUGUUGUUGAUGAAACACAACUCCUCUUGACCUUCCAAACCCUCAACCUCAUUGACAGCAAGUGGAUCUUCCUGCUUGGAGUUACCAACAAACUUCAGCUGCUCUUGGGUUGCUUUUUCAGCAAUGAGUAGGUCGAUCUUGUCUUCCAAAGCUUUGAUCUCUUUCCUCGUCUGCUUAUCAUCUGUUCUACUGCCUCUGUCGUGGUCUCCACUGUAGACUGCAUCACUCUUUACCAUGUUGUCAACCAGUUCUUCUGCAUCCUCCUCAGUUCUCCCCAAGAAGAACUCAUUGCUAGCUGUAUCCAGUCUGGCUCUGUACUUAGGAAGAGCACCACGGUAGAAUGUGCUCAGCAAGCUCUCCUUAGAAAAGCCAUGGUGUGGGCAUUGAGCUUGGUAGCCCUUGAAUCUCUCCCAGGCUUCACUGAAGCCUUCCAAGUUCUUCUGUUGAAAGCUGGAAAUCUCGUUUCUCAGCUUAGCAGUUCUUGAAGUAGAGAAGAACUUCUCCAAGAAUGCUUUCUUGCAGUCAUCCCAAGUAGUGAUGGAGUCACUGGGUAGAGACUUCUCCCACUGACGUGCCUUAUCCCCCAAAGAGAAAGGGAAUAGCUUGAGCUUUAAGGCAUCUUCGGACACACCAUUGGUUUUUGACAACCCACAGUAGCUGUCGAACCUGUCCAAGUGAUCAAAUGGAUCCUCUAGAGCCAAGCCAUGAUACUUGUUGUUCUCAAUCACGUUGAGGAGUCCUGACUUGAUCUCGAAGUUGUUGGCUGCCACAGCGGGUGCUCGGAUUCCCAAUCUAUGACCAUGAAUGUUGGGGCGGUCGUAAGUGCCAAUGGGUCGAGCUGCUCGCUGUUGGUUUUGAGGUAUGUCUCCCAUAUCAGUACUCAAUCUCUGCAAGUGAGCCUGUUGCUCUUCUUCUCUUCUAUUUCUAGCACACUCUCUCUCUAAAGCUCUGAUGUCUGCAGCUAUUGGAACUAGGUUUGAUGGACCCCUGCUCCUCAAGUUCAUACACCUGUAGAUUAAAGGGAGGUGAAGAAAGAGAAUCAGUAACAAAAGAAAAUAAAAAUGACUUAGUCUCAAGCAAGUGACUAAAUCUCAAUGUUCAAAUCUACUCAGAAUUUGGCAACGGCGCCAAUUUGAUGUUAGGAGUUUUCAAGGCUCCUAAGACAAAUGUUGUAGUAUAGAUGAUUGUCGAACCAGUUCUGAGGGAUAUCAAAGCACUGAGAAUGCAAGUACUCACUUAAUCUAAGUGCAACCAAUGAUUUAGAAGGGUUUUAAACUAUGACUAAAACUAGAAAGCAAUAACAGAAUGAUACUUUCUUGACUAAAGGAAAAGAGAACUCAUGGGUAUAGGGAUUAGACCUUGGGUGAUCAAGUAUCGAACUAAGGAUGGCAAAUGAUCAAUCAAACUAUCAACCUUAAGCCUAGACACAAUUCUAAGCAAGCUCUAUGUCUAGAUGAAUGCUCAUUUGCUAACAUAUCUCAAACAUCAAAUGUCUUUGGUUGAAUAAUAUGAAAGCAAUCAUUACUAACAAGUCUAUUAGCUAUCUUAGCAUCUUUAACAACAAAUGUCUUUGGCAAAGUAUACUAAAAGCCUAGGAGAGUUGUCUCGGGCAUUUCAUCGAACACCUUUCGGGUGAGAAAUGCCUAAAGAUCAACAACUGAGUGGCCAACUCAGAAGAUGCAUUAUGAUUACUCUACUAGCAAGGAAAUAUGAAUGAUCUACACUAAAACAUCCUAGCUCUAACCUAAUCACCCUUAAUCUCCCUAACCCAUGAAUUCAAAAGGUGAUUACUCACUAAUCUCCAUGAUUCCUCUUAAACCCAUAUUGGAUUUCAGAUUAACCAUGUAGAGAAAUAGAUAAGAAAUCAACAAGAACACAAGAACAUAACAAAUCAAAACCCAAGAGAUGAACUUCUCAAGAGAGUUCUUGUGUCUUUCUCAAUAGAUCAAAGAUAAAAGAUAAUCUGCCUCUGGUGGCUACAAAAGAUGUUUAAAACAUAGGUUUUUCCAAGUGCAAAACGUCCAAAAUAAAUUGCAAAAAGGUCCUUAAGAAAUCAUGAUUUUCGGCAGCAAAAUAACGCGGAGCGACUUGCAGGUGUCGCUCCGGGAAGUCGCUCCAGGGCCGAUUUUUGGUGUCUCCAGGCGAGAGGUCGCGAGCGACUUUGGUGUGUCGCUCCAACGGGUCGCUCUGGAUCGGGAGCGACCUUGGUAGGUCGCUCUGAGAGGUCGCUCCGGGCUUCGCUUCUUGUCGUCUUGCCAUAGAGACGCGAGCGACCUCGGGGUGUCGCUUUGGGAGGUCGCUCCGAGAGGGGUGUGAGAUGCGAGCGACUGCACGGGGUCGCUCUAGCUAGGUCGCUCUGAGAGGUGCUUUGGAGCGACCUCAUGACGUCGCUGCGGAACCUCGCUCCCAUGCUCUGCUCGUCCAAUGAUCACCUGUUUCACGUCCUUUAAGCUCCAAAUGCAUCCAAAUGUCUCCAGAAACUCCAUGUGGUACUCAAAUACCUGAUAGAGACAUAUGUAUGCAAAAUGCAACCUAAACAUGUCUAAAUCCUAAUCUAUAUGAUGAAAAUGUUUAUGAAUGAAUGGAUAAAACAAUGUAAAUAUGCAAGAUAUCAUAUAUUAAAUAAAUUUAAAAUAUUUUAAAGAUUCAAAAAAAAAAAAAAAUCUAAGGAUUCUAUUUCGGCUAACACCAUUGGACCUACAUUAAUACUUAGAGUUCUUAACUAUUUAAAAAAAAAAUAUAUAUUAUUUUAAUGCUAAGAAUUCUAAUGGUGAUAUGAUAUGAUGCACCGGGACGGAUACGGGGACAGAUACGGGUACGGAAGCGGGGACGGGAAACGGCAAAACUAAAAAAUUAGGGGUACGGGUACGGCAAAUAUAUAUCAAUAAAAAUAUAUAUAUGUAUAUUUAUAUACUGAAAAAUAAAAAUAUAUCACUGUAAAUCUUAUCUAAUAAACUAAAAAGAUUAGAAAGUAGGUUAUAAAUUCAAAAUCUAGUAUAAACUUCUACUUUUUAUGUUUUAUUUGGAAGAAAAAUAAGUGAAUAAGCUUAAGAAGGGAUAAUAGCAAAGCAAAUAUAUUCUGAAAAUUUUCAUAAUUAACUGUUCGGUCUUCAAAGUGUCCCCGUACCGUCCCCGAAGUGUCCCCGUCCCGGAAACGUCUCCGGUACGGAUACGUCAAUCAAUUUGACGUCCCCGUC
Molecule: long non-coding RNA, 6261 nt
Filed under: Brassica rapa (field mustard)
Lineage: Eukaryota; Viridiplantae; Streptophyta; Magnoliopsida; Brassicales; Brassicaceae
Description: long non-coding RNA (BRAP_LNC007222)
Rfam family: Plant small nucleolar RNA R71 (bases 3431-3537)
Source: RNAcentral